This 1532-nucleotide long non-coding RNA is filed under the name Heterocephalus glaber (naked mole-rat). Its description in RNAcentral is "lncRNA (ENSHGLG00100037819.1)". Lineage: Eukaryota; Metazoa; Chordata; Mammalia; Rodentia; Bathyergidae. The record is from RNAcentral.
GAGAUGCAAAGGUGAGAGCAACAUCAUCUUUGCCAUCGGGAAGCAUCCACUCUAAAUGUUUUAGUCACAGGGCUGUGUGUUCACACCAUGAAUUGUGAGAUCCCCAUGUUUACAAAGGAAAAUUCUUCCUAUGAGUCUCCCUGUUGCUAGGUAUCUUACUUUCUUGUCUCUGGGACAAUAUACCUGACAUCCACAACUUAAAAGAGGAAAGGCUUGUUUUGGCUCACAGUUCUUUCAUAGAGGUUUCAGUCCAUGGUUGGCUGCCUCCGAGGCAGAAGAGCAUGGCAGAGGAGAACAGCACAUGACAUGGAAGAAGGAAGCAAAGCGAUCAGGGGAGGAGGGAGGGAGACAGACUUGCCAGGCAGUGCCUCCAGUGACCCACCUCUUCCAACCAGGCUUCACAUCCCAAGUCAUCAGAGGAGCAACCCACCAAUAAGUAUCAUGCCCCUAGGGUCCAUUCACAUCCCCAAAGCCCCACAUAUGAGCACAUGAGGCUUUGAGAGUAUAAACCAUAGCACUAGGUUGUUUUUUUUUUUUUUUUAAAUAAAUCCUCCCAUUAUCAUGACUUCAUUUGGUUUAUUGUGGUGUUUUAUCUUUUUUCUUUUCCUUCUUCCCAGUGUUGAAAAAGAAGAGUUCUAUUAAUGCCCAGCAUUUAUCCAGUGGCAGUGUAUGUACAAUACCCUAAUCAGGAACCCAGAGCCUUAAGAAAAUUUCAUUUCUAGAGCAACAAGAUUGGAGUUCAUUACGUCCAGACUUGAUCUCUGUCCCUUAACCUGUGGAUACAAAGGGCUGACUGUAUAUAAUAUGAAUUAAAUAGGAUCAGCAUGAUAUCAGACUUCAUUUAAAGUUACUACCUCCAGUUAUGGACCCAAAACCGAUGAAGCUGAAACAUCCCAGGACACCACAGCAAUCACACGGGAUGGCCAGGAUGUCUUCAGUUACCCAGAGAAACAUCUGUCAGACACCGCGUGACCUUCUAGCUGGAGAAACUAUAACACUACUACAAUCAAUCCUUAAAUUGUCCGCACUGCAUUUAGAAGUUCUGGAAAAUACUAGAUUUUAAACUUGUGAACUAAGAUCAUUCAAUAUGGUCAGUGUUCCCAGAUGAAACCUUAAUCAUGUACAACACCUAGGAAAGAUGUCGGCAAAGAAACAGUUCUAAUCUAAAUCAGGUCUCGGCCCAAGGAGGAAGAAGGCUCUUUAAAGGACAUUUCUCUUUCCGACAUCAUUGGGCCACAGUCUGUGGCAACCAAGUGUGCUGUGUGGCUCAUUCUGGAGACACACAGCUCUGUGUCAGAGGAAUGUGCACAAUGUAUGGCCUUCAAAUGUCACUGUGCUCCAUGGGGUCGUUCUGGCUCUGAGACCUAACAAAUGAUUAUAAAUGUAUUAUAAUCUUUGUGUCUUCACUUAACUGUAACUGGCAAAGCAUGCUAUUUUGUUCCUCAGACCUAUUACUAAGGCCUGUUAUUAACAAAUUUGGCCUUUAAAUUUCCUCCACAAUUUAUAUCAAAAUAGCAAUGGUCACCUGCAAU